Molecule: ribosomal RNA, 1292 nt
Filed under: Staphylococcus aureus
Lineage: Bacteria; Bacillati; Bacillota; Bacilli; Caryophanales; Staphylococcaceae
Description: bacterial SSU rRNA
Rfam family: Bacterial small subunit ribosomal RNA
Source: RNAcentral
UAUAGAUGGAUCCGCGCUGCAUUAGCUAGUUGGUAAGGUAACGGCUUACCAAGGCAACGAUGCAUAGCCGACCUGAGAGGGUGAUCGGCCACACUGGAACUGAGACACGGUCCAGACUCCUACGGGAGGCAGCAGUAGGGAAUCUUCCGCAAUGGGCGAAAGCCUGACGGAGCAACGCCGCGUGAGUGAUGAAGGUCUUCGGAUCGUAAAACUCUGUUAUUAGGGAAGAACAUAUGUGUAAGUAACUGUGCACAUCUUGACGGUACCUAAUCAGAAAGCCACGGCUAACUACGUGCCAGCAGCCGCGGUAAUACGUAGGUGGCAAGCGUUAUCCGGAAUUAUUGGGCGUAAAGCGCGCGUAGGCGGUUUUUUAAGUCUGAUGUGAAAGCCCACGGCUCAACCGUGGAGGGUCAUUGGAAACUGGAAAACUUGAGUGCAGAAGAGGAAAGUGGAAUUCCAUGUGUAGCGGUGAAAUGCGCAGAGAUAUGGAGGAACACCAGUGGCGAAGGCGACUUUCUGGUCUGUAACUGACGCUGAUGUGCGAAAGCGUGGGGAUCAAACAGGAUUAGAUACCCUGGUAGUCCACGCCGUAAACGAUGAGUGCUAAGUGUUAGGGGGUUUCCGCCCCUUAGUGCUGCAGCUAACGCAUUAAGCACUCCGCCUGGGGAGUACGACCGCAAGGUUGAAACUCAAAGGAAUUGACGGGGACCCGCACAAGCGGUGGAGCAUGUGGUUUAAUUCGAAGCAACGCGAAGAACCUUACCAAAUCUUGACAUCCUUUGACAACUCUAGAGAUAGAGCCUUCCCCUUCGGGGGACAAAGUGACAGGUGGUGCAUGGUUGUCGUCAGCUCGUGUCGUGAGAUGUUGGGUUAAGUCCCGCAACGAGCGCAACCCUUAAGCUUAGUUGCCAUCAUUAAGUUGGGCACUCUAAGUUGACUGCCGGUGACAAACCGGAGGAAGGUGGGGAUGACGUCAAAUCAUCAUGCCCCUUAUGAUUUGGGCUACACACGUGCUACAAUGGACAAUACAAAGGGCAGCGAAACCGCGAGGUCAAGCAAAUCCCAUAAAGUUGUUCUCAGUUCGGAUUGUAGUCUGCAACUCGACUACAUGAAGCUGGAAUCGCUAGUAAUCGUAGAUCAGCAUGCUACGGUGAAUACGUUCCCGGGUCUUGUACACACCGCCCGUCACACCACGAGAGUUUGUAACACCCGAAGCCGGUGGAGUAACCUUUUAGGAGCUAGCCGUCGAAGGUGGGACAAAUGAUUGGGGUGAAGUCGUAACAAGGUAGCCG